This 104-nucleotide small nuclear RNA is filed under the name Chinchilla lanigera (long-tailed chinchilla). Lineage: Eukaryota; Metazoa; Chordata; Mammalia; Rodentia; Chinchillidae. The record is from RNAcentral.
GUGCUCACUUUGGCAGCACUUAUACUAAAAUUGAAACGAUACAGAGAUUAGCAUGGCCCCUGCGCAUGGAUGACAUGCAAAUUCGUGAAGCAUUCCAUAUUUUU